Molecule: long non-coding RNA, 434 nt
Filed under: Hordeum vulgare
Lineage: Eukaryota; Viridiplantae; Streptophyta; Magnoliopsida; Poales; Poaceae
Description: long non-coding RNA (HVUL_LNC020538)
Source: RNAcentral
CUCCAAAGUUGUAAUACCACCUAGGUAGAUUCAAACUAGAGAAACUUUUCAUAACAAGUAUAACCAUGUACCAAGUCAGUCAGCUGGAACAUUCAAAGGGAGAUACUUCAUUAUGAUUGAUUUUGAAUGCCUAUUGAUAUUCAAGAUGACAUACUAUAAUUAUUUAAUGAAUCAAUACUUAGCAUGGGAAAAUAAAAAUCACUAAACUUCUAUUAUGCCGGAGAAGAGCAGCUGCGAGGAGAGAGAGGCACUACUAUGAGGAUUGGCGGUGAUGUGAGUGUGAAUCGACAUGGUCUCCUGACUGUGUUGCCGAGCAAGUCGGCGUUGUUGCAUUCAUUAAAGUCAAGGAAGAUGUGUUGUGUGGCUUCAUUCAAAUGGCUAAGCGUUUGUUAUCAUUCAACAUGCACCUAGCGCUUGGUUUAACUUUAUCUUNN